AUUGCAAGUGACGAUAAAAAGACAGGGACAUCAGAACUCCAAUUUUUGCAGUAGUAAUGACCAAGUCUAUAAUGGGAAUCUCUCUGAUGCAAU
Molecule: small nucleolar RNA, 93 nt
Organism: Cynara cardunculus var. scolymus (artichoke)
Lineage: Eukaryota; Viridiplantae; Streptophyta; Magnoliopsida; Asterales; Asteraceae
Product: small nucleolar RNA R44/J54/Z268 family
Exons: 1
Source: RefSeq, a predicted model, not a curated record